UUCAACUAUGAUCGUUAGACCCAUGACGAGUUCACAAACCAGAAAAUUUCCAUAAAAAGACCGUUUCUUUCAACGGUUACUUCCAACACGUUUUUGCCAGCUUAUAAAUUGAUUUUUGGUAACGGUGACUUCUCAUUCCAGAUUCUCUCAAGUAUACGCAAUGAUGUAAUAACUGUUGGUACGGACAAGGGAUUCAUUCAUUUAUCAACUGCUCAAGCAUUACAGAUUAAUCAAUUUAAGUUUAUUUUUGUUCACAGUUAUUUACCCUUCUAUCUGUUAAUGUUUUUUUUUCUUACACUUUUCUUUCUCUCUUUUUUUUCUUCAUCUCAUUUCUCUGUUCAUAUUUUUUGGUUCCACUGAUGAAAAGUGAAAAAAAAGUUUGAAGUUGCUGCUGUCCUUGGAAACCCAAAAAUAUUCUGGCAUGGCUUAGAAUGAGUAUCAAUUCCUGUGGUUGACGUGUCCUCUAAAUUUCAUUUUACAAAGAAUCUGAGGAAACAAAAGGCAAAGUAAUUGUUACAAAAUACAUUUCAAAUUAGACAACAAAGGCAAAACAAAGGAACCAACGGAAUUGGAAAAUGAUGAUGAUAAGCUUGGUGAAAUUGGAAAAGUAUAAUUAUAAUUUAUUUCCGUAUUCAUGGGAGCCUAGUUUGAUAACAGUACAAGUCCGAAAAAAUCCAAUAAAGAAAACUGUCUCCCUGAGUUAAUCCUAAUGAAAGUUGCAAGACUAAAUUGACAAGCCAAGAAAAGAAACGGAUUUCUGGUCCAUAACUGAUAAAGCUAGAGUUUAGUGCAAGCAAAAAGAAAACAGGAACCCGUUUUUCACUAUUUAGAAGGCCAUACAAUAACGAGGUCCAAAACCUUGAACGGACCUUUAAAGAUCCAGGAAUAAAGAACGAAAGGGUUGUGUUGAAUUGUGUUACCAAGAAAAGCAGAAAAGAUGUAAAGAGAGAAAAAAGCAAAUGCAACAUUCAAAAGAAAAGAAAAGAAAACAGGUUACCAUGUGAAACUUGUGCUAUUCGUUGAUGAUGAGGGAUGGGAUACACAACUGAAGAGCCUUGGAAUGAUGUUUUUUAACACUUUUACUUAUGCACAACGGCAUUAAAUCAAAAAAAGGAGAAAGGCAAAGAAAAAGUAUAAUUAACCAAAAGCUGAGGAUUUAUCAAGGUCUUUCAAUUCAAUCAUCUUUUCAUAAAUCUGUUUUUCAAUUGUACAUCAAUUGCUAUUUAUUUAACUUUUUUUUCUUAUUUCUUGUUACUAAAUCUACUUUACUCCUUUUUCUCCUCUUUUUUUCUUCUUCUCACCAUUCUUCUUCUUUUCUCUUCCCUUCUCUUUUUUUUAAAUCUACAAGUUCUCAAGGUCUCCAGGUAGUGAAAUAUCACGGAAAAACCUUGACAGUCCAAGCAUAGAGCCUAAUUCAUACAACCUCGGUAAACCUGAAACCCGCUAUUAAAUCUUUGAAUUGGGUUACCCUGGUUACGCAAGUAAAAAAAAGGCUUACAAUGGGAUCCACUGUUUUCCUCAUCAUUUUCCCUCUUCACAAUUAUUAUAAACUUCAUCAUCCAUUUAAAUUAUACCAACGUUUAUAUAUGCAAACACACUCACACUAACAACCAAUAUAUCAUCAACAGUAAAAUUAUGCACACACAACACAUCCAUUCUCAUUGGGCUGGUAACACAAUCUUCCGGGUUUCUGCUGUUGAUCUAUCUUUGAUAUUUAAAAAUGCAUCCUGGACGGUAAUGGCUCCCCUAGUUUAUCCAGUUUUCUGUAAAGGUGUGGCUAUGUGCGUAUAUUAUAUAAGUUUUACACACACAUAGUUUUAUCCAAAUUUACAUUGUUAGUGUACGCACCAACAAGUCUAUGGAGAUAUUUCGUUACUAGAUCAGCCUGAAUGACGAUGAUCCUUGAGAAAGGUCGAUAAUAAUAAUAAUAGUCAUAAUAGUUAAAAAAUCAUAACAAUAAUGAUUAUGAUUAUGGUGAUUAUGAUUAUACUUAAUUUGCUCAUUGUUCACUUGUGUGAAGAGGAAAAAAAAUGUAUACAUACGUACACAUAAAACAUACACAUAUAUCCACAUCCACAUCUACACCAAAACCUCAUGAAGGUAUCCACACCCUUUUCCGGUCAAUGAUGGCCCCUAGUAACAAACUAUGGGUAAGGGCGUCAGCUAAACCGGUAAUACCUAAAACAACAAUAACUUCACCACCACCACCACCACCAAACUCAACAACGGACAUGACAAGAUGGAACAGGUACAUCUCAUGGUAUAAAAUUAGAUAACUGGAAAAAAAAGGAAAAACGAACAAUGAACAAGUUAAUGAAUGAAAAUGGAAAAGAGAAAAUCAUUGGCGUCAUUAAUUUAAAAUCUUCAUCAACUCUCCGUAUUCUAAUGCUGUUAAUUUUUUUGGUCGUUUUCUCUCUCUCUCUCUCUACUCACAACUGUUUACCUUCAAGUUUCUCCUCUUUAAAUUGAUUCACACUUUCCACCGCCACAACAUUCACCCUUACUGUCAACAAGAAACCGCAGAUGAUCAUUUCUGUUUCAACCAAAGUUACAAUUGAGGAAAUUAAAAGAUUCAGAAAGAUGGAAAAAAAGGGACACCGAAUAUUGCCCAAAAAAAAGUAAAUCUAAUGACAUUUACCAGGCUACUUCUUAUCAUCAGAUGAAUAAGAAAUAAAAGAUGAUAUGUCAGCUACGCUAAAGUUUAACCAGGUUGGCAUCUUUCAUUGUUCCUCUUUUUUGGACCUCAUUUGCAAAUUCAAGAGAGUAGCAUUGAAACAUAUUUCUAUUAGCAAUUGAUGGAUUGGAUAAACAUUGGUAAAGUCAAAAACUAACCAUUCUUGGUGCUCAGUGACUAAUGGGCAACAUCAUUGUAAAUGGUUUAUUGAAAAGCAAUGGAAUCAAAGAAGAAGAAGAAAAAAGCAAAACCUGGAACAAAUAAAAAUGAUCUGAGCCCAAAAGAUGAAGCAAGAUUGAACACUCCUUACAUGCAUCUUAUAGCUGGUCCUUGAUCUUUGGUGUUUCAUAAUAAUAAAAGAAACUGGGAGAAACAGUAUUUUUUGCAGUAAACUGUUGCUAAUGUGGUAAGGAAAGUGGUGAUUAAGAUAAAGAAAUUGAAUGGAAAACAUUUAUAUCUAAAGAAAAAUCAGCAUCUACUUGAUAAGGUGGUACGAAUACGAAAUUAAGGAGAAACAACUAAUCUGGAACUGUUUUGUGGAAAAUUGUAUCUUAAUUAACCGUUUCUAACAGAAAAUUGCAAAUUAAAUCAAAUCCAAGCAAAUCAAAAAGUUUCACCGUGCAUAAUAAACCAGUUAAUUGUGGAAAUAAAUCUUGUCGAUUUGUUGUUCCCUUGAACCAUGAUUGGUGCUCUUUAUGGUUAACAUUUGAUCAAUUGAACAAAAUGGAAACAUCAUUUCCAAUUUUAAACAGUUUUGUCUGGACAAGAGGAAAAGCAAAAGAAACCAAGUAACUUAAUCUCGCAAUAAACAAAGAACCUGUAAUUUAUAUAUUAACUGAUGUUAACUUUUUCAAGGUUCCCUAAAUGAUUCGUUGAUCAUCAUCAAGUUAAACACUUUCUCUCUUUGUCAUCAAUGGACUCAAAAAGUCUCACAUGCAACACGCAUACAACUUUGUUUAAAAGUUUGCAUGCACACACAGUUUCAAGUCUUGUUCCUUGCAAUGAACUUUAGCACGAUAGAUUGAAUGUUUUUCAAGGAGAAGUAGACAGACGUAAAAGAAAACUUGAGUAAAAUCAGAAUAACAUGGAAAAAGUGAUCAAAAGGAAACAGGGAAAAGACAUGGAUUGACCUUGCAAUAUUUAUGAACAAAAAAAGCUCAUGUUUAUCCAUUCAAUCAAUGAUACAAAGAAGGAGAAGGAAAGAGAAAGAACCAGAGACAUAAAAAAAAGGACUUCGAUUAUCUGUGAAUUUAGGUGGCAUCUUUUUGAUGGAUCAGGCGCCAUGUUAUCCCCCAUGUAUAUCAGUCUGAUUAAAGUUGAUCGAUUGGUUCUGUGCAUAACCACACACAUUGAAGAGAAGCAAGAAAAGAAAGAAAAGAAAAAAAAAUCAAGAGUCUCCAUUUCAAGGAACGAAAGAUGAUAAAGAGUACGAUGGUGAUGUCAAUGGUUAAAAUGAUGAUAAUUUAAUGGCUGUAAAGAUAUGCAAAGAAAAAAGAGAGAGCUGAAAAAUGGAACCAAAGGUUUUGACAUUGCAUAAAAUCAAUUGGAAUUGAUGAUGAUAAUGACGAUGACGAUGAUGAUGAUGAGUAUAAUGAUGAUUGAUUCAAUACGUACUUUUUUUUCAUCAUUUGCAUCAUCUUUUGCUUUCUCUCUUUUCUAAAUUCUCUAUCGAGAAACGAUUAGCAUGAAAAAGUUGCAAACAACUCAAAAAAUUCACUAUCAACAUCCUCUUCAUCUUCUUAUUCAUCAUCACCACCACCAUCAUGAUGAUGAUGAUCGUCUUCUUUCCAUGUGACAAACAUGAAGAUGUCAACAAACGGCCCACAGUUUUAUCUGUAUUCAUUUAUAAUCAAAGAUUGAUUUCACCUUUAACUUGAGUUGAACUCAAAUCUUGAAGUAGGAUGAAAACUUGCAAAAUAGCAAAAUUGAUUUUAAAGCAAAACAAACCAUGUUACUCUUUUGCUUAAUCGUUGCACUUUCUCUUCUCAUUUUUGCUCAUCGCCUGAUUUUCCUCUUCUUUUUCCUUCCUGAUCAUGUAUUAAAAACAGCCUAGGAAAAGCGACCCUCAACAGUUCAACGUCCUCCAACUUGUGAUAUCUUUGCCUGGUUAGCUGGACUUUUCUUGCUGCAACAGAUCAACAUCAUUAUCCUUGAUAUCAUUCCUGGUUCUUCUCCUCGUCAUCUUGAUCAUCUUUACCCUUGUUGCAUCAUUUUGAUCUGAGCAUUUACCUUUUUCUUCACCAAAUGGGAUAAGAUGGUAACCCUACGGACUUACAAAUCCCUCAAAAUUCAAGGUUACCCGCAAAGCAAAAAAGCCAGAUCUUUCCUGAUAUUUAAACUUGAGAAGCAUCUUUUCACUGUUGACCAGAUUUUUAUUUUACUUUUUGCAAAGCAGCAACAGCACUCAUUGAUUGGCUCAACUUACUUUCCCAUUGCUUAAUUUUCACCCCUUUUCUUUUCUUUCCUUUCAAUUUUGAUCCCUAGAUGAAGAUGUAGAAUAAUCUUUAUUCUGUAUUUUCACUUGGUGCUUUUAAUGAACAAAAGGCGUAUCUAGUUACCAAUGAUGUAUCAUGCCUGGUUUCAUUUUGAAGAAAAAAAACUUUCUUCUUCUUUCUUCUUCUUCGCUAAACCCAAUUAGUUGCAUUAUUGCUGUUCACCAAAGACAAAAAUCAACAAUAAACAAAACAAAAACCAGAACCCAUUGUAUAAUUUAACACAUAGUAUUUAUAUAAUUUAUUAAUUGAUUAACUUUUUCCUCUUCUUCUUAAUCACUUCACCCAUUCCACAAUUAUUAUCAUUGAUAUUAUAAUUUUUUCUUCUUCUCAUUAAUUGCAGAUUAAAUUUUUCAUUGGAGAAACAAAUACGCCAAAUGAAAUUAUCAUUAAGAGUCAACGUUUGAAGGGAGAGAGAGAUGAAGACAAAAAGGACAUUUAAUGUUAUUGACUUGCUAUUGUUUUGCAUUCUUUCAAUGCAAUCAUAAUUCUUUGCACCAAAACCAGAAUCAAUGGAGGAUUACAGCAAACAGAGAAGAAACAAAGAAGGAAAUGAUGAUAGCUACGAAAUGUUGUUUAUUGUUGUUGUUGAUGAGCAAAGGGAGAGAAGGAGAGAGUAAAUAGAUUGUGGAAAACAAAUCUUCUUCAAAUGACAAAUGUUGCAAAAAGGAGGUUCAAUUUUGUUAGGUUGCAUCGUUGGUUUUAAACAGCAGUUUAAAAUCAAGGUAAAUAGUCAAAGUUGAUGUCCAAGUGAGAAAAGAUUGCAAAUAAUUUUUGGAAAGGGCAAAACAAGUCAAAGCCAUUCUUAAUCAAAUAAUGUUGACAACACUUAUGCGACAAUAUUUAAUCGUUAAAUUGUUCAUCCUACACUUUAUCUCGCUAAUGUUGAUUGUUAUCUCUGGGUACAACAACAACAACAACAACUGUAAAAGGAAACUGAUGAUAAUGAAGAUGAACAUUUUCCUCGACAACAACAUCAACAACUCUUAACCCGAGUAAAAAACAGUAUCAUCAAAUUGCUUGCAUAAUAAACAACAUUGGAUGUUAAAAGAGCAAGAGAUUGGAGAUGGCGAAAAAAGAAAGAAAAUUGAAUACAAAAGAAACGUGAUCAUCACCACAGUUAUUUGGCAGAUUAAACAUGUAAACGUCGACUGAACUUGAUGAUUAGUGGUUACAGGAUCUCAUAAUUAUCAUGAUCAAACACAGGUAAAAAAGGCCAGGAAAGUUGGUUUGAGUAAAAAGCAGAAAAAAAGAAGAAGAAGAAGUUAAAUUAUGAUGAUGAGGGGAAGAGAGUUAAAGAGAGAGAGAGAGAAAAAAAUGAGUACAAAAAAAACUGGUAAGUUGAGUUGAUUUUGUGUUAUUAAUUCAAUGUUAUGACCAUUAACCCAGCAAUUGUGUUAUUAUUAUUUGACAAUCAUGGUUAAUUUGAUUGCAGAAAAGGUAAGGUGAGAUGUUGAUGGUUUGUUGAGUUUUAAUAGCUUAAAGUUAGGGUUAAUUUAUUUGUCAUUAAACUUUCAUUCAUAUUGGUAAAUAGCAAAAAAAGGACCAAAAAUCAAGAUAAUGGUGAUGAUGAGAUGUUUCAAGCAAAAAGGUUAAACUGUAAACAAUUUUACGAAAAAAAAGUCAUUUUCUUGUUGUUUACACUUUACAGUUUAAACAUGCAUUUGAAUGAUUUACAAUUAAGCAAAAAAGUGAUGAAAAAAGUGAUCUUGUCUCAACAAUCAAUUGAUCAAGUUGGAUUAGUGGAUAUUAAAGGAUGAAGCAGCAACUAAACGUGUUUAAAUGUUGACUCCAAAAAAGUAAAUCUAGAAAAUUGUUUUCACUCAGUUAAUUGAGUUAAUUGAUUCGAUGCUUGUAACAACCUUUAAUCAUUUAUGACGACCAUGAUUUCCCAAUGAUAAUUAAUAUAAUUUUGCUCUUUUUUCUGGUCCUUUUUUUACCCGUUUCUGUUACC
RNA transcript from Tetranychus urticae (two-spotted spider mite), 7120 nucleotides. RefSeq lists it as uncharacterized. Lineage: Eukaryota; Metazoa; Arthropoda; Arachnida; Trombidiformes; Tetranychidae. The record is from RefSeq and is a predicted model, not a curated record.